Molecule: ribosomal RNA, 500 nt
Filed under: Nocardioides furvisabuli
Lineage: Bacteria; Bacillati; Actinomycetota; Actinomycetes; Propionibacteriales; Nocardioidaceae
Description: bacterial SSU rRNA
Rfam family: Bacterial small subunit ribosomal RNA
Source: RNAcentral
UCGAGCGGAAGGCCCUUCGGUGGUACUCGAGCGGCGAACGGGUGAGUAACACGCGAUUAAUCUGCCCCUGGCUUUGGGAUAGCCACCGGAAACGGUGAUUAAUACCGGAUACGACAACUUCUUGCAUGAGAUGGUUGUGGAAAGUUUUUCGGCCAGGGAUGUGCUCGCGGCCUAUCAGCUUGAUGGUGAGGUAAUGGCUCACCAUGGCUUCGACGGGUAGCCGGCCUGAGAGGGUGACCGGCCACACUGGGACUGAGACACGGCCCAGACUCCUACGGGAGGCAGCAGUGGGGAAUAUUGGACAAUGGGCGGAAGCCUGAUCCAGCAACGCCGCGUGAGGGAUGACGGCCUUCGGGUUGUAAACCUCUUUCAGCAGGGACGAAGCGCAAGUGACGGUACCUGCAGAAGAAGCACCGGCCAACUACGUGCCAGCAGCCGCGGUAAUACGUAGGGUGCGAGCGUUGUCCGGAAUUAUUGGGCGUAAAGGGCUCGUAGGCGGU